GGCCACAAAGACAGGAUGAUGUUCUUGAUGUCAUGUGGGAGGAAGGUAAGGAUAACAUGCAUUAGACUCCCACAACUGAUCACAACUCCAAGAAUGUUGUCUUUUGAUAAUGUGCUGAGUGCCCAUCACAACAACUGCAUUCAGGUACAAACUUUGCUUACUUUCCCCAAACUACAAACUGUUUUCAACCGGAAUAGUAAAAUGGAGCCGCUACUUCUUUUUCAUGUCCAAACAUUGCUCACCCCAUCUUGUUAUUACAAUAAAAUAUAUAAGAUUAAAAUACUAUCCUAAACAAGUUAAAAUGACGAAAAUGUCGAAUGACCUAAAUUUCAUUUAAUCCUUAAUUUUUUCAUAAAUUGGAGCAGAAAAUUCCAGGAAAAAAAAAGGGGGCAUGUUAUUAUUUCCCAGGAAAUAAUGCAAAUAUACACCAGAAAUGUGAAAAAUAGAAAAAAAAAAUAUAAAAUUAGAAUAAAAUAAGUAUUACUUGUUUUUCGCAAUAAAUCAAAGUGUUGAAUAGUUGUGAUGGAGAAAGACAACAUACGGCGACUAUAAGAACCGUCAGCUUUGGAUUUACCGUGGGCCAAAUUGGACCAUUGGUGGGCCCAGUAUCAAUUACUUUGUAACGUGAUACAUGAAAGCUUGUCGAAACUGGGCUUCACAGGGACUGGGCCCAAUCUUAUGGAUGGGCCACUUUCUGCCUGUGGGCCCAAGAUAACGUGGAUAAUGCAACAAAAGACGGCCAGUUAACAGAAUCUCCUCUAAUCCUCUCCCACCAAUCAGCAAUCAUCUCCCACGCGGGACUUAGCUACCCCACCAUAACAUGACUCACACAAUAAAACCUCUUUAUAUAUUCAAAGAAGAAAUCAUCAAGAAGGUUUAACCUCCUUCUUCUUCAUUCUUUGUAUACCCUCGUUUUUCUUGUUUCCCUCUAUGUUGAAUAUUGGGUAUAGUUGUCAUUUUUUUCCCUAUUAUUCUUAUAUGUUAUAGGACGAACCAUCCCAUUUCGUAUAUUUUCUCAUCUCGAUUAAUUUUUUUAAAAAUAAAAGUAUCAGCACGAAAAAUCAUGGGAUCACCUGAAUCUUCUGCAAAAUACAUCCAUAAGGUAAAGUGCAACAUCUAAUAGAAGAGUGCAUAGUAUUCAAGAUGAGCAAAGAGGAAUGCAUGGAGGCUCUCUCCAAACAUGCAAAUAUCAACCCAAUCAUCACUUCCACAGGUACAUGUAUAAUUAAUAAACCACCAAUCAUCUUUCAAUCUUUCAACCAUUCUCGUCCGUACGUGUCAUGUUUAAUUCAAUGACAAGAGAAAUAUAACACACUUGUCAUAUAAUAUAUGUGGGCCCGACUAAGAGGGUGUUUGUCUAAGCUUAUAAGCUCGUCAAAACAUCUUAAAAGAUGUUUGAGAACUUAUUACAUUCAAACACUCUCGAAUUAAUGCGUUAUUUUUGUACAACGAGGAAUACGAUGGAGUUUGAUGCAAAAACAGUAACAAUGAGGUGCAUGCUUCCUUGUUAGUCUUAGUGAGUAGUGUACUGUUUCUAUUUCAUAUUAACACUCAGUGUGGAAGGAGCUGGAGAAAGAGAACACAGAGUUUUUUGAGGCAUACACCAAGCAAAGAUCGGAGGGAAGCAGCCGUACCAUGAGAAACGUGCUUCCCCAUUCUUCUAAGAAAGAUUAGCGACCAAAGUACUGAAUUCUUCCCACCAAUCACUCCACGUAUCAGUAGUCGUGUUUUGUUUCAACGACGUUGGUGUUUCCAUGGACCAUUUGUCCGUUUCUAUGAAAAUGUAUGUGUAAGAUUACGACAUAUCAACAUUCUAAUGUUCUCUCCCCGUACCCAUAAAUAUUAUACUACGUU
This is a non-coding RNA of Sesamum indicum (sesame), 1854 nucleotides long. The record is from RefSeq and is a predicted model, not a curated record. NCBI's taxonomy places the organism in Eukaryota, Viridiplantae, Streptophyta, Magnoliopsida, Lamiales, Pedaliaceae.